UGCUAUACAUGCAAGUCGAACGCACUCUCGUUUAGAUUGAAGGAGCUUGCUCCUGAUUGAUAAACAUUUGAGUGAGUGGCGGACGGGUGAGUAACACGUGGGUAACCUGCCCUAAAGUGGGGGAUAACAUUUGGAAACAGAUGCUAAUACCGCAUAAAACCUAACACCGCAUGGUGUAGGGUUGAAAGAUGGUUUCGGCUAUCACUUUAGGAUGGACCCGCGGUGCAUUAGUUAGUUGGUGAGGUAAAGGCUCACCAAGACCGUGAUGCAUAGCCGACCUGAGAGGGUAAUCGGCCACACUGGGACUGAGACACGGCCCAGACUCCUACGGGAGGCAGCAGUAGGGAAUCUUCCACAAUGGACGAAAGUCUGAUGGAGCAACGCCGCGUGAGUGAAGAAGGUUUUCGGAUCGUAAAACUCUGUUGUUGGAGAAGAAUGUAUCUGAUAGUAACUGAUCAGGUAGUGACGGUAUCCAACCAGAAAGCCACGGCUAACUACGUGCCAGCAGCCGCGGUAAUACGUAGGUGGCAAGCGUUGUCCGGAUUUAUUGGGCGUAAAGCGAGCGCAGGCGGUUUCUUAAGUCUGAUGUGAAAGCCUUCGGCUCAACCGAAGAAGUGCAUCGGAAACUGGGAAACUUGAGUGCAGAAGAGGACAGUGGAACUCCAUGUGUAGCGGUGAAAUGCGUAGAUAUAUGGAAGAACACCAGUGGCGAAGGCGGCUGUCUGGUCUGUAACUGACGCUGAGGCUCGAAAGCAUGGGUAGCAAACAGGAUUAGAUACCCUGGUAGUCCAUGCCGUAAACGAUGAGUGCUAGGUGUUGGAGGGUUUCCGCCCUUCAGUGCCGCAGCUAACGCAUUAAGCACUCCGCCUGGGGAGUACGACCGCAAGGUUGAAACUCAAAGGAAUUGACGGGGGCCCGCACAAGCGGUGGAGCAUGUGGUUUAAUUCGAAGCAACGCGAGAACCCUUACCAGGUCUUGACAUCCUUUGACCACUCUAGAGAUAGAGCUUUCCCUUCGGGGACAAAGUG
RNAcentral lists this ribosomal RNA (1028 nucleotides) under Latilactobacillus sakei. RNAcentral describes it as "bacterial SSU rRNA". It matches the Rfam family "Bacterial small subunit ribosomal RNA", at positions 45 to 1033 of the family's 1533-position model. The record is from RNAcentral. Lineage: Bacteria; Bacillati; Bacillota; Bacilli; Lactobacillales; Lactobacillaceae.